CGUAGGUGGCAAGCGUUGUCCGGAUUUAUUGGGUUUAAAGGGUGCGUAGGCGGCCCUGUAAGUCAGUGGUGAAAUAUCUCAGCUUAACUGAGAGGGUGCCAUUGAUACUGCGGGGCUUGUGUACAGAUGAGGUAGGCGGAAUUGACGGUGUAGCGGUGAAAUGCAUAGAUAUCGUCAAGAACUCCGAUAGCGAAGGCAGCUUACUAAGCUGUAACUGACGCUGAGGCACGAAAGUGUGGGGAUCAAACAGGAUUAGAUACCCUGGUAGUCCACACUGUAAACGUUGAUGACUCGAUGUUGGCGAUACACAGCCAGCGUCCAAGAGCAAUCGUUAAGUCAUCCACCUGGGGAGUACGCCGGCAACGGUG
This 368-nucleotide ribosomal RNA is filed under the name uncultured organism. RNAcentral's name for it is "bacterial SSU rRNA". It matches the Rfam family "Bacterial small subunit ribosomal RNA", at positions 526 to 896 of the family's 1533-position model. The record is from RNAcentral.